AUACGGAGGAUCCGAGCGUUAUCCGGAUUUAUUGGGUUUAAAGGGUGCGCAGGCGGCCAUUUAAGUCAGCGGUUAAAUCGUGGGGCUCAACCCCAUUCUGCCGUUGAUACUGGGUGGCUUGAUUGCGGUCGAGGUCGGCGGAAUUCGUUGUGUAGCGGUGAAAUGCAUAGAUAUGACGAAGAACACCGAUUGCGUAGGCAGCUGACCAGACCGCAAAUGACGCUCAUGCACGAAAGUGCGGGGAUCGAACAGGAUUAGAUACCCUGGUAGUCCGCACAGUAAACGAUGAAUACUUGUUUUCGGCGAUAUAAUGUCGGAGGCAAAGCGAAAGCGAUAAGUAUUCCACCUGGGGAGUACGCCGGCAACGGUGAAACUCAAAGGAAUUGACGGGG
RNAcentral lists this ribosomal RNA (392 nucleotides) under uncultured bacterium. RNAcentral's name for it is "partial 16S ribosomal RNA". It matches the Rfam family "Bacterial small subunit ribosomal RNA", at positions 523 to 918 of the family's 1533-position model. The record is from RNAcentral.